RNAcentral lists this ribosomal RNA (461 nucleotides) under uncultured bacterium. Its description in RNAcentral is "bacterial SSU rRNA". It matches the Rfam family "Bacterial small subunit ribosomal RNA", at positions 29 to 500 of the family's 1533-position model. The record is from RNAcentral.
AGUGAACGCUGGCGGCAUGCCUUACACAUGCAAGUCGAACGGUAACGCGGGGCAACCUGGCGACGAGUGGCGAACGGGUGAGUAAUACAUCGGAACGUGCCCAGUAGUGGGGGAUAGCCCGGCGAAAGCCGGAUUAAUACCGCAUGAGACCUGAGGGUGAAAGCGGGGAUCGCAAGAUCUCGCGCUAUUGGAGCGGCCGAUAUCAGAUUAGCUAGUUGGUGGGUAAAGGCCUACCAAGGCAACGAUCUGUAGUUGGUCUGAGAGGACGACCAGCCACACUGGGACUGAGACACGGCCCAGACUCCUACGGGAGGCAGCAGUGGGGAAUUUUGGACAAUGGGGGCAACCCUGAUCCAGCCAUUCCGCGUGGGGGAUGAAGGUCUUCGGAUUGUAAACCCCUUUCGGGAGGAAGAUGGAACGAGCAAUCGUUCGACGGUACCUCCAGAAGCAGCCACGGCCAA